GAUCCUGGCUCAGGAUGAACGCUAGCGGCAGGCCUAAUACAUGCAAGUCGGACGGGAUCCGUCGGAGAGCUUGCUCGAAGACGGUGAGAGUGGCGCACGGGUGCGUAACGCGUGAGCAACCUACCUCUAUCAGGGGGAUAGCCUCUCGAAAGAGAGAUUAACACCGCAUAACAUCAACAGUUCGCAUGUUCAGUUGAUUAAAUAUUUAUAGGAUAGAGAUGGGCUCGCG
Molecule: ribosomal RNA, 229 nt
Filed under: uncultured bacterium
Lineage: Bacteria
Description: partial 16S ribosomal RNA
Rfam family: Bacterial small subunit ribosomal RNA
Source: RNAcentral